Molecule: ribosomal RNA, 470 nt
Filed under: uncultured bacterium
Lineage: Bacteria
Description: bacterial SSU rRNA
Rfam family: Bacterial small subunit ribosomal RNA
Source: RNAcentral
UCCUACGGGGAGGCAGCAGUGGGGAAUAUUGGGCAAUGGAGGAAACUCUGACCCAGCGACGCCGCGUGCGGGAUGAAGGCCUUCGGGUUGUAAACCGCUUUCAGCAGGGAAGAAGCGAAAGUGACGGUACCUGCAGAAGAAGCACCGGCUAACUAUGUGCCAGCAGCCGCGGUAAUACAUAGGGUGCAAGCGUUGUCCGGAAUUAUUGGGCGUAAAGAGCUCGUAGGUGGUUCGUCACGUCGGAUGUGAAACUCUGGGGCUUAACCCCAGACCUGCAUUCGAUACGGGCGAGCUUGAGUAUGGUAGGGGAGUCUGGAAUUCCUGGUGUAGCGGUGGAAUGCGCAGAUAUCAGGAGGAACACCAAUGGCGAAGGCAGGACUCUGGGCCAUUACUGACACUGAGGAGCGAAAGCGUGGGGAGCGAACAGGAUUAGAUACCCUGGUAGUCCACGCCGUAAACGGUGGGCACUA